Molecule: long non-coding RNA, 939 nt
Filed under: Panax ginseng (ginseng)
Lineage: Eukaryota; Viridiplantae; Streptophyta; Magnoliopsida; Apiales; Araliaceae
Description: long non-coding RNA (PGIN_LNC017672)
Source: RNAcentral
UGAAUUUUACAGCUCUAAUUAAUGAUGAUUUUUAUGUAUUUCAUGAGUGUUAUUACCCUGUAAUUUAUCACCCUGUAGUUAGUCAUAUUAUGGGUUUUCUUUCUAACCCACAAAACGGUGGCAGAGGAGGGGGUCAGGGUUUGUCUGGGUUUUAAAGUUUGAAGUGCUUGGUAAUUUCUCUCUAAAGGAUGCAUAGCAUCUCAAGUCAUUGUCAUUUGGUUUAUAUCAUUUUACUCUAAACGACACACUACCCUUCAUCUAGAACCUUACAUGCCAGACAUUGAUUAGGCUUUAUAAUUGUGGUCCCCAAUACCUGUCUUCUCUUAAUCUAUUGUGGGUAACAUUGACAUGGAAAUAAGGUAUCCAAAGAUGAGACAUAUCUGUUGUUUUAGAGGAAGGUCGGAUAAGUGGUUUUGGGUGUAAGCAAUUUUAGUGUAUCUUAUUUUGAAUUAGUUAAAUUUUAGAAGUAAAAAUUGAGAGUCAGUUGGUGAGUUUAUAACAGCUCGCUGCAACUACUAUGUGGAAUAUUUGGUUAAGAUAGGAAGCUAUUUUUGAGAAAAAGUUCAGUUGUGUAUAAUUAAGACCAAGAAUAAGGCUUGCAGUGGUUGUGUGGGAUCAGGAAAAGCAAAAGAAGACUUUCGUCAUCUAUGGUUUAAUAGUCCAAUAAAAGUUAGUAUUAUGUAGCAGCAAUUAGAGCAUUUUAAUGUGGAAAUAUGUUGGCAACGGUGUAUUAGUGAAGUGGUGCAGUAGUGUAAGUGUUUGCAGCAGGUUGAAGUAGUGCAGCAGCCCAGGAGCAUUAGUACAGCGGUGCAACAAGGGUUAUCAUGCCCAAUAUAAUACUGACACACAGACGGGAGGGUGAUCUCUCCGCCUGCGUGUCAGCACCGUAUUAGCCAUGGAGUGAAUUUAUUAUGAAGUUCACUUCAUGCUAACCACUCC